This 497-nucleotide ribosomal RNA is filed under the name uncultured bacterium. RNAcentral's name for it is "partial 16S ribosomal RNA". It matches the Rfam family "Bacterial small subunit ribosomal RNA", at positions 28 to 507 of the family's 1533-position model. The record is from RNAcentral.
GACGAACGCUGGCGGCGUGCCUAAUACAUGCAAGUUGAGCGAUGAAGAUUGGUGCUUGCACCAAUUUGAAGAGCAGCGAACGGGUGAGUAACGCGUGGGGAAUCUGCCUUUGAGCGGGGGACAACAUUUGGAAACGAAUGCUAAUACCGCAUAACAACUUUAAACAUAAGUUUUAAGUUUGAAAGAUGCAAUUGCAUCACUCAAAGAUGAUCCCGCGUUGUAUUAGCUAGUUGGUGAGGUAAAGGCUCACCAAGGCGAUGAUACAUAGCCGACCUGAGAGGGUGAUCUGCCACAUUGGGACUGAGACACGGCCCAAACUCCUACGGGAGGCAGCAGUAGGGAAUCUUCGGCAAUGGACGAAAGUCUGACCGAGCAACGCCGCGUGAGUGAAGAAGGUUGUCGGAUCGUAAAACUCUGUUGGUAGAGAAGAACGUUGGUGAGAGUGGAAAGCUCAUCAAGUGACGGUAACUACCCAGAAAGGGACGGCUAACUACGUG